RNAcentral lists this ribosomal RNA (305 nucleotides) under uncultured bacterium. Its description in RNAcentral is "bacterial SSU rRNA". It matches the Rfam family "Bacterial small subunit ribosomal RNA", at positions 334 to 654 of the family's 1533-position model. The record is from RNAcentral.
UUGGCCUACGGGGGGCAGCAGUGGGGAAUAUUGGGCAAUGGGCGCAAGCCUGACCCAGCAACGCCGCGUGAAGGAAGAAGGCUUUCGGGUUGUAAACGUCUUUUACCAGGGACGAAGAAAGUGACGGUACCUGGAGAAUAAGCCACGGCUAACUACGUGCCAGCAGCCGCGGUAAUACGUAGGUGGCGAGCGUUGUCCGGAUUUACUGGGUGUAAAGGGCGCGUAGGCGGGACGGUAAGUCAGCGGUAAAAAUGCGGAGCUCAACUCCGUCGAGCCGUUGAAACUGUCGUUCUUGAGUGAGCGAG